This is a long non-coding RNA of Vigna angularis (adzuki bean), 4447 nucleotides long. RefSeq lists it as uncharacterized. Lineage: Eukaryota; Viridiplantae; Streptophyta; Magnoliopsida; Fabales; Fabaceae. The record is from RefSeq and is a predicted model, not a curated record. The transcript is spliced from 2 exons.
AUUUAGAAAAAGUUGUACUGUAUUAAUUUAAUUUGUGUGUUGAGCAAUGGAAAAUUGAACAAAAUUGGCUUAGAAGCAUUACACACCACACGGCCUAGCAGCCAGCAGGAAAAUCUUCUUUCUCUUUUAACAAAUAUAGGACAACAAUGAAAGUGCAAUGUUGAAUGAAGUAAAGCUCACGGUUUUCUUUAUUUAAGUAAAGGGUGCUAUUUUAAGAGAAUGUUUAUACACUUUUGAAAAUGAAUUGAACUAGUAUGUGGAUUGGUUUUGUUAUUUCUUUUAAAUGGUUUAACAUGCAGGUUGCACGGCCCCAUAUCAACAAUUUAAUUUGGCAUAUAUGUUUGGAAAAAGGCCACCACUCAUUCACGGUUUUCACUUGAUAAUGUGCCAAAAUUCAUAACCUUGGGAGACAAUGAUCACGUGAAAGAGAAUUCACAUUCUAUUUAACAAAUAAAGAAAGAUGGAGGGGACCACAAGGAAAGAAGUUUACGAUUCUUGGAGGAAGAAAAAGAGAGAAUCUCUUUUAAAGUAAAGCAUAUGCGUUUUUGACUUGGCAUGGGUGAAGAUUAAAGAAUGAAUUUAUGGAAACGCAAAACUCAACAAUUGGAAAGAAAGGGGCGCUGAAUUGUCAGAAGAGAGUGGCCACCUUUGUCACUUUUGUUUUUCAUUGUUUUGGAGAUAUGAGAAUGCGGUUUCAAAGAGGGAGAGGCCGCGAGUUUGAGGGGGAGGCCGUGAGAGUCCAGCUAAUCCAGCACCUUCACGAUCCAUAAAAGAGGGAGUUGUUGCUGCCACUUCCAGGAGGUGUUCAUGGUGAUCUUUAUUUUAGAAAAGAGAAUACACGUUAGUCUUGAUUCAAUUUGAUGGAGAAGGGUGAGCUGGAAUGUGGAAAUAGAGAGGAGAAAUGACACGGCCCAUGGAGAAAUAAUUCUGGAAUAGUUUGGUGUGCAUGAAGAGCUGAAGGAGGAGGUGUCUCGGUCUUGAGCAGCAGCACUCACUUGCCAUUUGUUUUAGAGAAUGAUGCACGGUUGAGAAGAAUGCAGCAGCGUGAAGAAGGGUUGAACGUCCAGCUGGAAGAAGAUGUGGAGAUCACAACCUGCUGGAAGUAAGAAGGAGUGCAUCAGCUGGUCCACCAAAGAAGAGGAGGUCACGGCUGUGUUGAUUUAAUUUGGAAGGAAGAAGAGAGGCACCAUGUGUACACGGAAAGGAAGAUGGAACCAGCCACUUGUUGAUUGGAGAAGAGAAGCCAGCAAGCGGUGCAGCUCCGUCCAUGCAUCCAGCCAUCUCCACCAGUCCAGCUCCAUCACGGUCCAGUAGCUUUGGACGUUGGCUGGAAGGAAGAAGAGAGCUACGUUCCAGUACAGAAGACGUGCAUGGUAAUGGCAGCAAAGAAAAGCAGCAUAGGCUGCACUCAUUGGCAGGGAGAAUGGAGAUGCAUCAUGAUGAUUAAUGGAGCUCUCGGUACCAUCCAGCAAGCAGCCCACGGUGCAGCAAAGACAAACAACACACGGCCUUGGAAGAAGAUUGGAAGCUCAUGGUUCCCUUGAGUAGUUGCGUUCAGUGGUUUGGAGAAUUAGCACAGAAGAGGGGCCGUUCAAAAUGAAGGAUUGUCGGUUUAGAGCCGGAUGUGUAAGCUCACGGCCCCAUUGGAAAAUUUAGAAAAACAUUUACCAAACAUCACUAAGUUGGAAUCAAUUGAAGGGGCCACCAUAUUGCAAAUGCAGUCACGGCCAGGAGGUGUUCACGGGAAGAGAAUGGAAUAGUGAAAAGAGCCAUGGUUGGAAGGAAACUCACGAGAAUUUUAGCUGGGAAGCAAGGAAGCAAACAGAUACAAGAAUGAAGGGACCCAUCCUAAUUCUUUUGCAAUUGUUGAAAUGAAGGAGAAGUCACGGGAGGAUGAGUUUUCUCUAUAAAAUGGAAUGGGCAGCAGAGGAGAAAACAUUAGAUUUUAGGAGUAGUUUAGGAACCACUCACGGCCAGAGGAGGCUCUGGCCUCUUUCCAUUUUCCAGCUCUUUCCAUUUUUCAGUAGCAAGCUCUCAGUUUCCAUUUUCCAAACAGUGAUUUAUUUUCUGAAACGUGUAAUGUAUCGUUAGUUUGAUUUUGGAAUAUUAUUUUCAAUUGUUUAAUCCUUGAUGAAUUUCAUUUUCAGUGCUUUUAAUUUUACCAUUUCUUUUAUUUUAUCGUUUAUUGUUUUCUACAUCGUAAAUUUUGUCAAUGUGUUUUACUCUUUAUCUUAUUUUCAAACGUUGUUUUUACCGUUUAUUUUUACUGAUGAUUUUGGUAAAUUUUAAUUACAAUGUUUUUAUGUUUUUCUGCAUGGUACUGUUCACGCAUUUUAAAUUUAAACACUAUAAUUUUCCAUUUUCUGUUUUUACCGUCUUUUACCAUUCAGAUUUUACCAUCGUUAAAAUUUAUUUCAAACGUUAUUUUUAAUUUUGUGUUGUUUAAUUUCCAGUUCACUUUAAUUUUACCGCACAAAACAUUCACAAACCCCCCCCUUUCGUGUUAAAAUCUAAGACUGAACUCCAGUAUUGGUCCUUGAGAGACGACCUAGGAGUCAAAUCCUAGUCUAUACUGCAUAUUUUCGUGCAAUCAAAUUUGUAUGACCGCGACAGUCGUAUCAGAUUUUGGCGCCGUUGCCGGGGACCAAUGGAGGUUUGGUUUUAGAUUUUUGUUGUGUAAAUUUUUGUUUUGUUAAUAUGUUUGUUUUGUGUGUUUUGUCUUGUAUAUUUUUGUAGGCGACAACGACACCUUCAGCAAAUUUUGGCGGCGUUGUCACUUAAGUCCAGGUUCUUGUUUUAGAUUUUUACUGUUUUUGUUUUAUUACGUGGUUGUAAUAUAUGUUUUGUCUUUUAUAUUUUUAUUGUGUUGUGUUUUGUAUUAUGUUUGUCAAUUAAAAAAUUUUUAAAAAAAAAAGUUUUUAAUUUUGUUCUGUCUUGUUUGUGUCUGAAGAAUGUUUAAUUGUGUUGUGUUUUAUUUUGUGUUGUGAUGUGAUGUUCUGUAUGUGUGUUGCAUGUGCUUUAUCUGUUAAAUAAAAAAAAAUUAAAAAAAAAAAUUUAUUAUGUUCUGUCUUUUGUGUGCAUGUAACAUGUAUAAAUGUGUUGUGAUUUAUCUGUUUAGUAAUUUUUAGUAUUUAGUUUUUAUUUGUUUUAUUUUUAUUUUUCCAUGUCUACCUAUUUUGAUUAUGUGAAUAGUGUUUAUUCUGUCAAUGCCUCUAAUUAUGAGUCUCCUUCUGCAUGGUACUCUGAUUUUAAUUCUGCUGACCUCUAUGUUGAGAAAAAUAUGGCCCACCCUCCAAUUUAUGAGAGCUCUCCUUGGGAGCCAGUUCCACCAAAUAAGGAUGGUGAUCAUCACUUUCUUAACAUUGGAAUGAUAAAAAUGCUGCCCCAGUUUCAUGGUUUUGCAGGCGAAUGCCCACAUGAACAUUUGGAGAAUUUCUAUAGAAUUUGUUCUGCAAUGAAACCUCCAAAUGUCACGGAUGAUCAAGUUUUCUUAAGGGCAUUUUCGCACUCGUUAAAAGGAGCAGCAAAGGAUUGGAAAGAUCGUCUUCCUCGAGGAUUCGUCAUCAGAUGGGAAAAUCUUAAGAGUCAAUUUCUGAAGAAAUUUCCCCGUGUGCAAAAUAGUUACAACAACAAUCCUGGAUGGAAUGACACGAGUUUGUCCAGCAAAGGGAAUUUGGAAACACACAUGCCGCACAUGCACAUGGAAAGGCUUUGGUUUUAAUUUUUUAUGGAGAAUAGGAUAAAGAAGUGCACAUUUACGUGAAGUCCAACAAAUGCAAGUAGCACAUGAUGGAAGGAAUAUACAAAAGCUUGUGGUAUGAGUGCACACACAUGGAGUUUUACUUCCAUUUGAUGGAUGAUGACAUGGAAUCACAUUUCUGAAAAUGGUCCACCAAACACAUGCUUGCAAUGUACCAAGAAUCACUUAAGUUUCACAAAUGUCACGGCUGGAAACAUCAAGUGGAGGGCCCCUUUGUUUUAUUUUGAUUGAAGGAGAGUUUAAAGAAUUAGUUGGAAGAUGCACAUCUCUCACAAUGUCUCACGGUUGGUGCAGCAGGAAAAUAUUCAGCCAUCAUACCUUCACAUGGACAUGGAAGCCAAAGUAAGAAACACAUGCAAAAGAGCUUCAUCCAGCCAUUGAUACAAAAAAGGAGAGAAGAAAAAUUUUGGAGGGGGUUAGUUGGUGGAUGGAGAGGAGAGGCCGUGAGCUCAUGGUGGGAGGAUGAAGAAAACAAAUCACUGCUGGGAUGGAGGAUGAUGCUUGGAUUCUUGUUGUCUUCUAAAUUGGUGUUGUACAUCUUUCCAUUUAAGUUUUUGUUCAUUUGUUGUUAUAUUCAUCUUAGUAUUCUAUAAACUGUAAUUUGUAUUUUGUUUGUGCAAGUUGAUGUUGUAAUUUUAGAAGCUUUGUAAUUUCAUUUUGGGAAGUGUUUUUCCUUCUUUUGAUUUA